Potamilus streckersoni is the source of this 81-nucleotide non-coding RNA. The record is from the annotation of a GenBank genome assembly. NCBI's taxonomy places the organism in Eukaryota, Metazoa, Mollusca, Bivalvia, Unionida, Unionidae.
CUUGUUGUACCGAGCGGUUAAGGCGCUGGACUUGAAAUCCAUUGGGGUUUUCCCGCACAGGUUCAAAUCCUGUCAACGAUG